UAGCUCCCUUGAACCAAAACUUCGUGUGCUAGUCGAGGUUCCGAGCGCUCGUCGGUACCGAGCAUAGGCCGAAAGAGAGAGGAUAGGGAGAGGGACAACCACUCUAGCCAUCUCAUGAUCAUGCCAUGGUUCAGACGUCGAUUGGUGCCAUAGAGAAGUCGUCGUCGCUUGAGAAGUUUGUGGGUAGCACUAUGGGACGCGAGGGUCGACCAGAGUAUGAUGAGUUGCUUGCUGAAAUUCGUCGAACCAUGGUGCAACAUCGCUGACACUCGUCGUUGGUUCAAACACCGAAAAGCGAGGUUACGAGGAAUCUGAAGUCCAAACUUGGAGAAGUGCUUGGAGUUAAGCCAAAAGGCAGUUGUGUCCUUUAUCACAUUCUUUGACCUUAUAAUAUUACCUUUUAUGUUCUCACCUAAUUCACUGUUAAGUUAACUUGAUGGGACCUUAUGUUA
Long non-coding RNA from Zea mays, 452 nucleotides. RefSeq lists it as uncharacterized. Lineage: Eukaryota; Viridiplantae; Streptophyta; Magnoliopsida; Poales; Poaceae. The record is from RefSeq and is a predicted model, not a curated record. The transcript is spliced from 2 exons.